Molecule: ribosomal RNA, 432 nt
Filed under: uncultured bacterium
Lineage: Bacteria
Description: partial 16S ribosomal RNA
Rfam family: Bacterial small subunit ribosomal RNA
Source: RNAcentral
AGCGAACGCUGGCGGCAGGCCUAACACAUGCAAGUCGAACGAACUCUUCGGAGUUAGUGGCGGACGGGUGAGUAACACGUGGGAACGUGCCUUUAGGUUCGGAAUAACUCAGGGAAACUUGUGCUAAUACCGAAUGUGCCCUUCGGGGGAAAGAUUUAUCGCCUUUAGAGCGGCCCGCGUCUGAUUAGCUAGUUGGUGAGGUAAAGGCUCACCAAGGCGACGAUCAGUAGCUGGUCUGAGAGGAUGAUCAGCCACAUUGGGACUGAGACACGGCCCAAACUCCUACGGGAGGAAGAAGUGGGGAUCCUGGCGCAAUGGGCGAAAGCUGACGCAGCCAUGCCGCGUGAAUGAUGAAGGUCUUAGGAUUGUAAAAUUCUUUCACCGGGGACGAUAAUGACGGUACCCGGAGAAGAAGCCCCGGCUAACUUCGUG